AACCGUGUACGUACAAGCAGUGGGAGCACCCUUCGGGGUGUGACUGCGUACCUUUUGUAUAAUGGGUCAGCGACUUAUAUUCUGUAGCAAGGUUAACCGUAUAGGGGAGCCGGAGGGAAACCGAGUCUUAAUUGGGCGUUAAGUUGCAGGGUAUAGACCCGAAACCCGGUGAUCUAGCCAUGGGCAGGUUGAAGGUUGGGUAACACUAACUGGAGGACCGAACCGACUAAUGUUGAAAAAUUAGCGGAUGACCUGUGGCUGGGGGUGAAAGGCCAAUCAAACCGGGAGAUAGCUGGUUCUCCCCGAAAGCUAUUUAGGUAGCGCCUCGUGAAUUCAUCUCCGGGGGUAGAGCACUGUUUCGGCUAGGGGGCCAUCCCGGCUUACCAACCCGAUGCAAACUGCGAAUACCGGAGAAUGUUAUCACGGGAGACACACGGCGGGUGCUAACGUCCGUCGUGAAGAGGGAAACAACCCAGACCGCCAGCUAAGGUCCCAAAGUCAUGGUUAAGUGGGAAACGAUGUGGGAAGGCCCAGACAGCCAGGAUGUUGGCUUAGAAGCAGCCAUCAUUUAAAGAAAGCGUAAUAGCUCACUGGUCGAGUCGGCCUGCGCGGAAGAUGUAACGGGGCUAAACCAUGCACCGAAGCUGCGGCAGCGAACGUAUCACCCAAGACAACUUUACGGAGUUGACGAUUGACGGAGCGAAGCGACGUCAAAGCGUUCAUUAAAGUCGAGUUGGCUUAGGGAUACGUUCGUUGGGUAGGGGAGCGUUCUGUAAGCCUGUGAAGGUGUGUCGUGAGGCAUGCUGGAGGUAUCAGAAGUGCGAAUGCUGACAUAAGUAACGAUAAAGCGGGUGAAAAGCCCGCUCGCCGGAAGACCAAGGGUUCCUGUCCAACGUUAAUCGGGGCAGGGUGAGUCGACCCCUAAGGCGAGGCCGAAAGGCGUAGUCGAUGGGAAACGGGUUAAUAUUCCCGUACUUGGUGUUACUGCGAAGGGGGGACGGAGAAGGCUAUGUUGGCCGGGCGACGGUUGUCCCGGUUUAAGCGUGUAGGUGUGUGUUCCAGGUAAAUCCGGUUCACUUUAACACUGAGGCGUGACGACGAGGCACUACGGUGCUGAAGCAACAAAUGCCCUGCUUCCAGGAAAAGCCUCUAAGCAUCAGGUAACACGAAAUCGUACCCCAAACCGACACAGGUGGUCAGGUAGAGAAUACCAAGGCGCUUGAGAGAACUCGGGUGAAGGAACUAGGCAAAAUGGUGCCGUAACUUCGGGAGAAGGCACGCUGACACGUAGGUGAAGUGAUUUACUCAUGGAGCUGAAGUCAGUCGAAGAUACCAGCUGGCUGCAACUGUUUAUUAAAAACACAGCACUGUGCAAACACGAAAGUGGACGUAUACGGUGUGACGCCUGCCCGGUGCCGGAAGGUUAAUUGAUGGGGUCAGCGUAAGCGAAGCUCCUGAUCGAAGCCCCGGUAAACGGCGGCCGUAACUAUAACGGUCCUAAGGUAGCGAAAUUCCUUGUCGGGUAAGUUCCGACCUGCACGAAUGGCGUAAUGAUGGCCAGGCUGUCUCCACCCGAGACUCAGUGAAAUUGAACUCGCUGUGAAGAUGCAGUGUACCCGCGGCAAGACGGAAAGACCCCGUGAACCUUUACUAUAGCUUGACACUGAACAUUGAGCCUUGAUGUGUAGGAUAGGUGGGAGGCUUUGAAGUGUGGACGCCAGUCUGCAUGGAGCCGACCUUGAAAUACCACCCUUUAAUGUUUGAUGUUCUAACGUGGACCCGUAAUCCGGGUUGCGGACAGUGUCUGGUGGGUAGUUUGACUGGGGCGGUCUCCUCCUAAAGAGUAACGGAGGAGCACGAAGGUUGGCUAAUCCUGGUCGGACAUCAGGAGGUUAGUGCAAUGGCAUAAGCCAGCUUGACUGCGAGCGUGACGGCGCGAGCAGGUGCGAAAGCAGGUCAUAGUGAUCCGGUGGUUCUGAAUGGAAGGGCCAUCGCUCAACGGAUAAAAGGUACUCCGGGGAUAACAGGCUGAUACCGCCCAAGAGUUCAUAUCGACGGCGGUGUUUGGCACCUCGAUGUCGGCUCAUCACAUCCUGGGGCUGAAGUAGGUCCCAAGGGUAUGGCUGUUCGCCAUUUAAAGUGGUACGCGAGCUGGGUUUAGAACGUCGUGAGACAGUUCGGUCCCUAUCUGCCGUGGGCGCUGGAGAACUGAGGGGGGCUGCUCCUAGUACGAGAGGACCGGAGUGGACGCAUCACUGGUGUUCGGGUUGUCAUGCCAAUGGCACUGCCCGGUAGCUAAAUGCGGAAGAGAUAAGUGCUGAAAGCAUCUAAGCACGAAACUUGCCCCGAGAUGAGUUCUCCCUGAGACUUAGAGUCUCCUGAAGGAACGUUGAAGA
This 2396-nucleotide ribosomal RNA is filed under the name Salmonella enterica subsp. enterica serovar Typhimurium. Its description in RNAcentral is "partial 23S ribosomal RNA". It matches the Rfam family "Bacterial large subunit ribosomal RNA", at positions 554 to 2844 of the family's 2925-position model. The record is from RNAcentral. Lineage: Bacteria; Pseudomonadati; Pseudomonadota; Gammaproteobacteria; Enterobacterales; Enterobacteriaceae.